Molecule: ribosomal RNA, 604 nt
Filed under: uncultured bacterium
Lineage: Bacteria
Description: bacterial SSU rRNA
Rfam family: Bacterial small subunit ribosomal RNA
Source: RNAcentral
GAAAGUUUCGGCGGUUACAGAUGGGCAUGCGUUGUAUUAGCUGGUUGGUAAGGUAACGGCUUACCAAGGCGACGAUACAUAGGGGGACUGAGAGGUUAACCCCCCACAUUGGUACUGAGACACGGACCAAACUCCUACGGGAGGCAGCAGUGAGGAAUAUUGGUCAAUGGACGGAAGUCUGAACCAGCCAUGCCGCGUGCAGGAAGACGGCUCUAUGAGUUGUAAACUGCUUUUGUACAAGGGUAAACCUGAAUACGUGUAUUCAGCUGAAAGUAUUGUACGAAUAAGGAUCGGCUAACUCCGUGCCAGCAGCCGCGGUAAUACGGAGGAUCCAAGCGUUAUCCGGAUUUAUUGGGUUUAAAGGGUGCGUAGGCGGAUUGAUAAGUUAGAGGUGAAAUGUCCGAGCUCAACUCGGGAACUGCCUCUAAUACUGUUGAUCUAGAGAGUAGAUGCGGUAGGCGGAAUGUAUGGUGUAGCGGUGAAAUGCUUAGAGAUCAUACAGAACACCGAUUGCGAAGGCAGCUUACCAAUCUAUAUCUGACGUUGAGGCACGAAAGCGUGGGGAGCAAACAGGAUUAGAUACCCUGGUAGUCCACGCAGUAAA